This is a long non-coding RNA of Salvia splendens (bonfire salvia), 519 nucleotides long. RefSeq lists it as uncharacterized. The transcript has 2 exons. The record is from RefSeq and is a predicted model, not a curated record. NCBI's taxonomy places the organism in Eukaryota, Viridiplantae, Streptophyta, Magnoliopsida, Lamiales, Lamiaceae.
CUCUACCACACAGGGUCUAUAUCGAAAGAAAACAUGUCCAGUUUUUUGUUUUGUUUUAAGUUUUAACCAUUCUUGCAGCAGAUUCCCCCUAACAUAAGUGACAAGAAAUCACCAAUUUCAUCAAAUCCAGAAGGUGAGCCUUGGAAUGCAAAAGCAUUCCCUUCCCCUGCUUUCCCCAUUGCUGGACUCGUCUUCAACAAACAAUAUACUACCACAUGGUAGAGGUAUGCCAACUCUUACAUAUUUAUCAUGGUUACUUGAUCAUUACAUGAGUUAUAGCUCUGUUUAUAAUGCAAAUAUUAAAAGGCAAAAGUAAAAUUUGAGCUAAGGAAACUAGCAACUCCAUUAUAUUGUGGUAAGUGGCAUGGCAUGCCAAUGCAAGUAUUGUUUGGAUUAUCAGCUGUCUGUUGGAGUUCAUCUAAUGAACUCUCUGAUGUUUUGUUUGAUCAUUACAUGAGUUAUUGCUCUGUUCAGAGAGUUCAUUUUAUGAUGCAGCGCAUCGACUCAUUAAAUCAUUUA